This 253-nucleotide ribosomal RNA is filed under the name uncultured bacterium. Its description in RNAcentral is "partial 16S ribosomal RNA". It matches the Rfam family "Bacterial small subunit ribosomal RNA", at positions 524 to 776 of the family's 1533-position model. The record is from RNAcentral.
UACGUAGGUGGCAAGCGUUAUCCGGAAUUAUUGGGCGUAAAGCGCGCGCAGGCGGUUUCUUAAGUCUGAUGUGAAAGCCCACGGCUCAACCGUGGAGGGUCAUUGGAAACUGGGGAACUUGAGUGCAGAAGAGAAAAGCGGAAUUCCACGUGUAGCGGUGAAAUGCGUAGAGAUGUGGAGGAACACCAGUGGCGAAGGCGGCUUUUUGGUCUGUAACUGACGCUGAGGCGCGAAAGCGUGGGGAACAAACAGG